UAUUAUAAGUCUCAAUUUCUACGCUAAAAGGCUCUACAUUUUACUACGCUAAAAGGCUCUAUAUUUUACUUCGCUAUAAGACACUAUAUUUUACUAUGCUAUAAGGCUAUACAAUAUGAACAUAACAUCAACAAUACAAAUAAACAAAAUAAAUAAUAUUAUUUAACACAAACAAUCAAGUAGCAUCUUUGGUCACAAACAUAACAUAAAUUCGGAUAUCAAAUAAAUCAAACCGGGUAUAUAAAAGAAACAAAAUUAAACACUAACAUAACAAAAGUUCACAUGGAAACAUACUAAACAAUACUAAUGCAUGACUAUAUGAGUUUCGGCAUAAACUAAAUUGAAAUACCUCGAUGUAAAUAUUAUUGAAAUCGAAUUUUUGCACCCGAAACACGCAAUCCAAAACUUCUUUUGUGUGUGGGACCUACACUUCUUGCUCUUUAUGGGACGGAUGGGGCCGAAAUUUUUUUUUUUUAAAUUGUAGGCGGGGUGGGGGACCAAAAAAGUUUGAGUUUGAUUUUUUAAUGGAGAUCGUUGUCUGUGGGAAGAAGACGACCCGUUUUUUAUUAGGGCAAUUCGUAGUUCAGUACAACGAAUUGUAAUUCGCAGUACUGUACUACGAAAUGUCAUAAAAAAAUUAUUUUUUUUUAAUACUGCGAAACGCCUUAACGGCAAAAAAUCCGUUAAGCCAAUUCGCAGUAUAAAACUGCGAAAUACCCAUUAUUGUAUCUUUUUUUUUAACAUGAAAAAUAUAUUUUAUGUUCAAAAAAUUAUUAAUUAAGUUUUGGACUCUUCCUAGAAACAACGUUAAGCUCUUGCCUUUCCUGCUGCAAUUUUAUACCUGCAUGAUGGUGCCCAAGCUUUGCAGGCUUAUAAUUCUUCUGUGGAUCCCGCAGCAUUCCUAGCUGCUAUCGAAUCAGGAACUGUAAGGGUUGAUAUUGGAAACUAUGACUCAUUCUAUGACGUGAGAUUGGUCUUCCAUCUUGAGCAGCUAUCAAGAAUUAUAUUUUACAAUGAAUACAAACUAUAAUGUGUUGUUGACAAAAAUAGUUGACCAUCCAACCCUCCCCAGACCCCACAUCCCACCAGGUUGUUGUUGUUGUUGACAAAAAACACUUAAGAUUUAACUAUAGUUUCAACUGUGAAAAAGCUUUGAUAUUUUGAUCAAAUUAAUUUCAACUAAUUCUGCAAA
Long non-coding RNA from Nicotiana attenuata, 1192 nucleotides. RefSeq lists it as uncharacterized. Lineage: Eukaryota; Viridiplantae; Streptophyta; Magnoliopsida; Solanales; Solanaceae. The record is from RefSeq and is a predicted model, not a curated record. The transcript is spliced from 3 exons.